RNAcentral lists this ribosomal RNA (763 nucleotides) under uncultured Streptococcus sp. RNAcentral's name for it is "bacterial SSU rRNA". It matches the Rfam family "Bacterial small subunit ribosomal RNA", at positions 28 to 776 of the family's 1533-position model. Lineage: Bacteria; Bacillati; Bacillota; Bacilli; Lactobacillales; Streptococcaceae. The record is from RNAcentral.
GACGAACGCUGGCGGCGUGCCUAAUACAUGCAAGUAGAACGCUGAAGGAGGAGCUUGCUUCUCCGGAUGAGUUGCGAACGGGUGAGUAACGCGUAGGUAACCUGCCUGGUAGCGGGGGAUAACUAUUGGAAACGAUAGCUAAUACCGCAUAAGAGUAGAUGUUGCAUGACAUUUGCUUAAAAGGUGCAAAUGCAUCACUACCAGAUGGACCUGCGUUGUAUUAGCUAGUUGGUGGGGUAACGGCUCACCAAGGCGACGAUACAUAGCCGACCUGAGAGGGUGAUCGGCCACACUGGGACUGAGACACGGCCCAGACUCCUACGGGAGGCAGCAGUAGGGAAUCUUCGGCAAUGGACGGAAGUCUGACCGAGCAACGCCGCGUGAGUGAAGAAGGUUUUCGGAUCGUAAAGCUCUGUUGUAAGAGAAGAACGAGUGUGAGAGUGGAAAGUUCACACUGUGACGGUAUCUUACCAGAAAGGGACGGCUAACUACGUGCCAGCAGCCGCGGUAAUACGUAGGUCCCGAGCGUUGUCCGGAUUUAUUGGGCGUAAAGCGAGCGCAGGCGGUUAGAUAAGUCUGAAGUUAAAGGCUGUGGCUUAACCAUAGUACGCUUUGGAAACUGUUUAACUUGAGUGCAAGAGGGGAGAGUGGAAUUCCAUGUGUAGCGGUGAAAUGCGUAGAUAUAUGGAGGAACACCGGUGGCGAAAGCGGCUCUCUGGCUUGUAACUGACGCUGAGGCUCGAAAGCGUGGGGAGCAAACAGG